AGAGUUUGAUCCUGGCUCAGGAUGAACGCUAGCUACAGGCUUAACACAUGCAAGUCGAGGGGAAACGAUAUUGGAAGCUUGCUUCCGAUAGGCGUCGACCGGCGCACGGGUGAGUAACGCGUAUCCAACCUGCCCACCACUUGGGGAUAACCUUGCGAAAGUAAGACUAAUACCCAAUGAUAUCUCUAGAAGACAUCUGAAAGAGAUUAAAGAUUUAUCGGUGAUGGAUGGGGAUGCGUCUGAUUAGCUUGUUGGCGGGGUAACGGCCCACAAGGCGACGAUCAGUAGGGGUUCUGGAGAGGAAGGUCCCCCANAUUGGAACUGAGACACGGUCCAAACGUCCUACGGGAGGCA
Molecule: ribosomal RNA, 354 nt
Filed under: uncultured bacterium
Lineage: Bacteria
Description: bacterial SSU rRNA
Rfam family: Bacterial small subunit ribosomal RNA
Source: RNAcentral